RNAcentral lists this long non-coding RNA (444 nucleotides) under Mytilus galloprovincialis (Mediterranean mussel). Lineage: Eukaryota; Metazoa; Mollusca; Bivalvia; Mytilida; Mytilidae. The record is from RNAcentral.
AAAUUGCUUUCUCUAAGCCGUCAAAUUUAGGAAAAUGUAAAACGACAGUUGCUGCACAUUUGCUGACUUAUUUAUUUCUAAUUUUGUUUUUUUUAAUGCAUUCAUACAGCAGCACUGACAUCUAAUUGUUUAAUUGUUGUCAUACAUUGUUGUAAUGAACUGGAUUGAGACUGAUUGAAGUAGAGGAGUAGUGCAUAGUAUAUCAGAUAAAACUAAUUUAGUGGUAAUUAAGUUGCAUCGCACAUCUAAAUAUGUCACUCAAUGUAAAUAUAUAACUGCGCGUAGGGAUAUUAACAGGCAUACAUCAAAGGCAUUCAAUCUAGAAAAAGAAAUUAUGUAACUUAAAUCGCACCGAUGUUUGCACCGAUACGUGAUUUCAAAAUGAUCUGCUUUACCAAUUCAUUCUCGAUGAGAAAUAAGAACUUUAGAAUGAAAAGAGACAAC